UCCCCGUUAUCCGAGGCGGUGUCCCGUGAAAAUACAACACGGAACGGGGGUUGCGCUCGUUAUCCGACUUAACGGUACAUCUCACGACACGAGCUGACGGCAACCAUGCAGCACCUGUGUAGCACCCUCGAAGGCGGCCACUGUUUCCAGCGGCUUGCAGCUACAUGUCAAACCUGGGUAAGGUUUUUCGCUUACCGUCGAAUUAAACCACAUGCUCCUCCGCUUGUGCGGGUCCCCGUCUAUUCCUUUGAGUUUUAGUCUUGCGACCGUACUUCCCAGGCGGGAUGCUUAAUGCGUUAGCUUUUUUAACCGACACUGGGAGGGUCGAUACUCCCAAUAUCUAGCAUCCAUCGUUUAGGGCGUGGACUA
This 369-nucleotide unclassified non-coding RNA is filed under the name uncultured bacterium. RNAcentral describes it as "contains 16S-23S intergenic spacer region". The record is from RNAcentral.